GAAGAAGGCCAUGCGGGAAAGGAGGCAGGGAUUGGAGUGAGGCAUCUGCAAGCCGAGGAACGCCGAUUGCCACAAACCACGAGAAGGACACUGAGGGUGAAAGAAGCGAGGCGACUAGUCCGAGGACAGUUGGUUAUUUACGCAGCACAGCAAGGAUAAGAAUCUGGGGAUCUGCAUCUAACACUGUGCCUCUCCGCCACACAGUCCUGCCUGGAAUCCCUCUAUUAGGCAAAUUCUGCGCCCUCACAGCACGUGCAAAACGUAGACUGCAAUGACUGGAAUGGAUUCCAGCUACUGCCCACCACACUGCAUAGGACGGGCGGGAGGCAGCCCCCAGAACCAGAGACUCCUGCGGAAGAAGACGGAAAUACUCAGACAGACUCUUGGCCAAACUACUCCUCUCUCUACAUUGUGAACGCACAAAAGGUUCCAGCAAUAAUCAUUCUUUAAACAAUAAUAGCAAAAUGUCUACAUGUUUCCAAGGGAUGGGGGCGUGCACAGAGGCUAUCUUUCCCAAGGAUGCCACUCCCAGGAAGUCAGAAUGAAGCAAGUUCUUUGGCGGGUGUCAGGAGGACGGCCUCAGAGAAGCCCAAGAGCAGAUCCUGGAACUGAGGGGGCGAAGGAGGAACCUCUCACCAAACUCACCGCGUCACUGGGUCUUCACCCCACCCAUGUCAUGCCCGCCCCGCUCAGGGUGGAGAGACAACAAAGGAAGGCUAAACACAAACUGGUCGAUGUUGCUGCUUCUUAGCAGACCGCUGGGACCACUGCAAUGGAUUCCAAUAGGAUUUACAUACCUACAGCUAAUCAUUAUAUUGUGGGGUCCUGCAGGAAGUGAUUCGUAGGGCUGCUGGUGGGAGACAGGGGAUCAAAGGGCCUUUAAAAAAUACAGAGGUCAGGGGCUGGCCCCGUGGCCGAGUGGUUAAGUUCGCGCACU
This 937-nucleotide long non-coding RNA is filed under the name Equus caballus (horse). RNAcentral describes it as "lncRNA (ENSECAG00000047389.1)". Lineage: Eukaryota; Metazoa; Chordata; Mammalia; Perissodactyla; Equidae. The record is from RNAcentral.